CUCAGUUCGGAUCGGAGUCUGCAACCCGACUCCGUGAAGCUGGAUUCGCUAGUAAUCGCGCAUCAGCCAUGGCGCGGUGAAUACGUCCCCGGGCCUUGUACACACCGCCCGUCAAGCCAUGGGAGCCGGGGGUGCUUGAAGUGCGUCGCCGCAAGGCGCGCCCUAGAGCAAAACCGGUGACUGGGGCUAAGUCGUAACAAGGUAAC
Molecule: ribosomal RNA, 206 nt
Filed under: uncultured bacterium
Lineage: Bacteria
Description: partial 16S ribosomal RNA
Rfam family: Bacterial small subunit ribosomal RNA
Source: RNAcentral